AAUAUUUCAUGGAUGGACAUCUUUAUUCAAUACAUAUGGAGGCAAACAAGAAAUAUUUUCCGUACUAGAAAUAGGCAUAUGUCUCAGUCUAACAUGCCGCAUAUUGUGAGUAGUAUUUGCAGAUGUAUACAUAGAGUGAAUUGGAAAACAACUAGCAGAGUUAUGUAAAGAAACUGUAGUUGAUUGUCUGAGUGAGUUCUUUGGUGGUGAAUGGAUGGACUGAAGAAUGUAGAAAUUAUUUCUGAUUUUACCAAGACCUAGUGCCCUCUUCAGUGAAGGGCCAUGCAAAGAGCAUAAAAGACACUAAAAAUCAGGUCAAUACCAAAUUGGAGACAGAAAUUGUGUACAGAUAACGAAUUAAAUUUGAAUGAGGGAACAAAUAAGACUCUAUUUAGGAUUAGGUAUAUAAAAGAGCAACUCUCCCUGCAUGACGUACUUUUAUCAUAUAGGAAUUUUGAAGGUUAACAGUUAAAGGAUAAGGGAGUAUAUAAAUGUCAAAGAGAAUUGAUUUAUCAAAAGUUAUGUGUUCUGAUGCUCCAGUAUCAAGAAUCCAUGAAUGUAUGAAGGAUUUAUUAGGAAGAAUAUAUGGUAAAAUAGGAGCAAUACCAACAUAAUUUGCAGUCACAUUAACAUCAGAAGUUGAUACUGCUUGUUGACCACUUUACUUUUCCUUCAACUGAGAAUAUUGCUCUUGGCUUAGUCCCACAGGGUACUGAAUUUGUAACUCAUGUAUAUUAAAGAUACCUAAAUUUUGAUUCCUUUGCAUAGUUUGAAAAGCAGAGUGUUGAUCAAUGGUCCCCUGCGUAUUAAAGCAUCAUGUUGGAUUCCCCAUUAUGUUGUGAUUUUCAUCUUCAGUUAUAGCUAAAUUUUACUGUACUACAUAUUAUUUCUGAAAGGUUCUAGGAUUAUUAGAUUUGAAGUUGGCAAAAUAUCCAUGGAGCUUAAAACACUUUUCACUAGUAUGUCCUGGUUUUUGGCAAAAGUUGCAAAACAUUUUUCUCCUGUCAUUUCUCCAGAUUGUGUUUAACUUGUUACCAUUUUUGAAAGAAGUAUUAAAACUCAUUUUUCC
Molecule: long non-coding RNA, 1069 nt
Filed under: Nicotiana benthamiana
Lineage: Eukaryota; Viridiplantae; Streptophyta; Magnoliopsida; Solanales; Solanaceae
Description: long non-coding RNA (NBEN_LNC004254)
Source: RNAcentral